This 305-nucleotide ribosomal RNA is filed under the name uncultured bacterium. RNAcentral describes it as "bacterial SSU rRNA". It matches the Rfam family "Bacterial small subunit ribosomal RNA", at positions 336 to 658 of the family's 1533-position model. The record is from RNAcentral.
UUCCUACGGGAGGCAGCAGUGGGGAAUAUUGCACAAUGGGGGAAACCCUGAUGCAGCGACGCCGCGUGAAGGAAGAAGUAUUUCGGUAUGUAAACUUCUAUCAGCAGGGAAGAAAGUGACGGUACCUGACUAAGAAGCCCCGGCUAACUACGUGCCAGCAGCCGCGGUAAUACGUAGGGGGCAAGCGUUAUCCGGAUUUACUGGGUGUAAAGGGAGCGUAGGCGGCGAUGCAAGUCAGAAGUGAAAGCCCGGGGCUCAACUCCGGGACUGCAUUUGAAACUGUCAGGCUGGAGUGCAGGAGAGGC